AUGCAGUCGAACGGAAACGAUGGGAGCUUGCUCCCAGGCGUCGAGUGGCGGACGGGUGAGUAGUACUUAGGAAUCUGCCCAUUAGUGGGGGACAACUCGGGGAAACUCGAGCUAAUACCGCAUACGCCCUACGGGGGAAAGCGGAGGACCUUUCGGGGCUUCGCGCUAAUGGAUGAGCCUAAGCCGGAUUAGCUAGUUGGUAGGGUAAAAGCCUACCAAGGCGACGAUCCGUAGCUGGUCUGAGAGGACGAUCAGCCACACUGGGACUGAGACACGGCCCAGACUCCUACGGGAGGCAGCAGUGGGGAAUAUUGCACAAUGGGCGCAAGCCUGAUGCAGCAAUGCCGCGUGUGUGAAGAAGGCCUGCGGGUUGUAAAGCACUUUCAGUAGAGAAGAAAAGCCUAGGGUUAAUACCCCUGAGUCUUGACGUUACCUACAGAAGAAGCUCCGGCUAACUCCGUGCCAGCAGCCGCGGUAAUACGGAGGGAGCGAGCGUUAAUCGGAAUUACUGGGCGUAAAGCGCGCGUAGGCGGCUUUGUCAGUCGGAUGUGAAAGCCCUGGGCUCAACCUGGGAAUUGCAUUCGAUACUGCAGAGCUAGAGUAUGGUAGAGGGAAGUGGA
This 620-nucleotide ribosomal RNA is filed under the name uncultured bacterium. RNAcentral's name for it is "bacterial SSU rRNA". It matches the Rfam family "Bacterial small subunit ribosomal RNA", at positions 55 to 665 of the family's 1533-position model. The record is from RNAcentral.